CCUUGUACACACCGCCCGUCACACCAUGGGAGUUGGUUUUACCUGAAGACGGUGUGCCAACCGCAAGGAGGCAGCCGGCCACGGUAAGGUCAGCGACUGGGGUG
This 104-nucleotide ribosomal RNA is filed under the name uncultured bacterium. RNAcentral's name for it is "partial 16S ribosomal RNA". It matches the Rfam family "Bacterial small subunit ribosomal RNA", at positions 1379 to 1482 of the family's 1533-position model. The record is from RNAcentral.